ACAACUUUGGAGGUGGAACGAUCUGCUUUACGCGCAACUUGUGCCCAGUUAUCAGCUGAAAAAGAGGAGGCAAUGCAAAGUCUGGACUAUUUCAAAGAAAAUUAUGAUCGGUUGCUGAGGGACCAGAUAAAUUUAGAAAAACAACAGGAACUGCUAGUCACUAAAAAUGAUGAACUCUUGUCAAGAUGGAGACACACGCAGCGAGCGUUUAAUGCCCUUCAAACAGAAACAAGGUUUCUCAGGGAAGAAAAUUCUGCACUCAGGGAACAGAUCAACGCUCAUGAAGCCUUGGAUGAAAAAAAUGAGUCUUAGGAUUCAAGAAACUUUGCUUUUUGCAAGAAAUACUUUUACUUUGAAGGUGCCUCAAUUGUAUACGCUGUUGCUCAAGCUGAAUUGUUUUCAGAACCAUCAGCCCUGGAGAAUUGGAGAUUGGUUGGAAAGCUAGCCGAGUCUCACCACAAUGUUUUUUCUUUCUGUUUCAAUUGCUAAUAUUAGUAACUAUUACAUGCUGUGAUAUUUAUUUUAUUAUGUUUGUUAUUUAAUUUAGAUUAAAUUUAGUACUUGGAUUUAACUAAAUGUCCCUUGACAUAGAAAAAAAUAGCCUGAAAUGAAGCAGUAUGUCAACAAGAAUCCUAUUAAGUAGCCAUUGUCUGGUUAUGCUAUAAAUUUUCAACCAGUUUUCAGCUUUUGCGAAUGCACAGGAAUUUCUGUGCUGUAUAGUAACCACUAAGUUCACUCGCAGAAUUGUCACUCUGAAGAAACAUAGAGAAAAUAUGGAACCGCAGACUAGAGGGAAACAAGGGGCUAAUAGGGAUAUACUGAGCAAGAGACCACUAACUCCCUAUUAACAGUGUCUUCUAGUUUAAUUCAAUGGACCUGAAACAUAUUACUCCUCUUAUUUUCCCUCGUAAGUUUUGCUGGAAACAGGGAAAUUUUAUACAACCAUUUCCAAGAUAUUAACUUAUAAUAAUAGGGAAAAUCAUGGGAAUUUGCCAUUAAAUGCCUAUACUCAUCAAACUGAAUAUUCUUUUGAGGAGUUUGAACCUUUGACUGGCCUAUCCCUUGUUCUCUCCUCUAGCCUCUUAUUUGCUACUUUCUCUCAACAAGUUUCAAUUCUUAAUGCCAUUUUAACAAUUUAUGUGGUCCUUAAUAUCACUUAUUCUUCUUUUUAUAUCUGAUCCUUUGCUCCCUCUAAAAAAUAGAUAGUCAAAGUGUGAAAUCUUGUAUCGCCAUUGUGAUGUUUCAAAAUUUCCAUUGUUUCAUUUUUUGAACAGAAACAAGCCAAUUGUAUAGAUUGACAUAUAUACAGAAUAUAUAUAUUUUUCUUACAGCAGAAAACUCAAGGAAAUUUUCCAUAAAUUACAUUGACAAGUUUUCCAAAGAAAAAAAUAAGUAUGACAGGAAGUGUGCUAUAUCACAAAUGGAGAUAGGUGUUCUUGCACUUUGGCCAUCAAUAUAAAUAUUUUUUAGCUCAUUAUCAAGAGGCAGUCCCCAAAGUACGCUUGAAUUACACCAAGUGAUUUUUUUAAAUACUUCACAAUUACAAAUAUCUUGAAAAUGGCACCUUAAAUCUCCAAGCACUCAGCAGAACUUUAGUGCUGGAGGUCUGUUUGAAAGGCAGACCUUUCCUAUAUGAGUCCUGUGGUUUUUUUAAUGAACUAAGGUGGUUUCACUUCAGUCAAGUAAAAAUAAAAAUGAACUAAUAGAAAUAAAAGUUUCCAAACUUGGCGGUAGUGUUAUUUGUUUGAGGUCAAUGCUUACACCUCAAAAACAUACAAUCGUACUGUGGACAUCUCUGUCAAUGUGUAACGAUAUAGCUUUGUACUUAGCACUGAUGGAUGCAGCAAUCGUUGCUUGUAUUGUAUUUAGAGUCACUGAAGCGUCACCAAUCCUAUAGCCUUGUCCCUGCUAGCGUCGUUUGCUGAAUUUCGGGUGAAGUUGUUCCAGGAACUUAUUAUAACUUAGCUUCAACUUGUUCACAGAAUUAAUUCGCUCAAAUUGCGCUUGUGUGGACAAGGCCUAUGUUCUGAAAGUUACCAAGACCUUAUAGGUUCGCCAAGUUACCCUAUGAUCCAAUCUAAGAUCAAGCCAGCCCUUAAUACACCUAAAGUUAAGGUCAUUAUCAAAAUUUUGUUGUGAUGUUUUUGGUUUUCUGCUUUCAUCUUAUUCUUUCAAUUUAUGAAUUAGUAGCUGAGGAUUUUAUUUCCCUUUUCAAAAUAUCUAUAGCACUUACUCCUUUUUUUUUACAUCAAUUUGAGGUGGUUGUUUUCAAUGGUCUUUUUUUUUAUUGUUUUUAUCUGCAUCAUAUUUGAUGGUAUUGUGGUAUAUUUAUCCUGCCUCUCUGAUUACUGCCAAUCUUUGUCGAAAAUUUAAAUUUUAAAAUUCGUCCUGGAUAGAUCCACUCCUCUGUAAAAAUUACUAUUAUACUUUUUCUCUUAUUCAUGUUUUCAUAUCUUCCUCUUCUUUCAGUUCAACCGAAUUUAAUGCAGAGUUCGCGCUUUUUUGGCAUCACUAUUUUCAUACAUUCUUCAUUUGUAAUGUUAAAGUUAAUGUUUAUAUGGCAGAAGAGUUUCUUCAUUUAGUCUCUGAUCUUGUUUAGUUUUUAAUUUCUAAUUUUCUUAAAGAAAUAGUACCAUUUACAAGAAUAUUACGUUUAUGUUCUAUCAAAAAUAUUACCCAAUUUUUUUUUAAAUUUUUUCUUUUUUUUUUGUCGUAUGUAUCUUAGUUGCCAAACUGUGGUAAGCAAACAGUUUUAAAUGUAGAAUUUGAAGGGCUCAAACCGAAGAUAUUUAUCUGAUAGGAGCCUCAUAAAGUAGAGGUAACGUUAAGAAGCAGUUCAUUUGAAUGGUAAAUCAAAGAAAUCAAACUUUGAAACCACUUGCCAGUAGUGAGAGCAAAAUUCAAUUGAAGUCGGCCAUGAAUUUCUAAUUUGAAGAAUUGGAAAAUUUUUAGAUUUUCAUGAUACAAAAGCACUGUUUUUACAUAUUUUGAGAUUAUCAAUUAGGUGUACAAUAUUGAGUCCUGUGUAUUAUCAGUCAAAAUUAUUGAUUUCGCCCUGAGUAUUCGUUCGAUGAGCUCUUCAUUUUCUCUUUUACUAUCCUUUGCUAUCUUUGUCGAACAGAAAACAUCGUAAAUGAAAAAUGAGAAAAGCAAUUUCUUAAGCAAACCUUGAAGGUGUAUCAAUUUGAGCAAAAAGGCUUUUUUUGUUCGUUCCUGAUUUAUUUAAAAUAGGAACAUUUCAAAACCAUCAUCUUCUGAGUUCUGCAGAGAUUUCAUCAGUUGAUACGCUUUGGGUUAGACUUUUUAUUUUUAUCAACCCUCAUUUAGUUUUUUUUCUAGUUUCUAUAUUUUGUUUUUUGUAAAAUAUGCAAGCAGUUAUUAAUAUAUUUCAUUGAUAGUUUGUACUACAUUCUCUUUUUACUCUAUUUAUUCACGGCCAAACUCUGAGAACAAGUAUCUCAAGUACAGCAUUUAAAAAUCUCUGCCCAUGCUGAAUUUUCUCAAAAUUUCCAAACCAUACGGAAUUUUCAUGAAAUGAAUUCUUCCUAUUUUGAAGAAGAGUCACCAAAGGUUUUAAAAAAUGAUGUCGGUAGUUAUUCUUCCUAAAACUUUAAUCAUAACCGAGACUUUGCAAUGUUGUGAACUGUGGGACAUGUUGUCAAAUUUUAGCUUUUGCUUCUCUUCUUCCCUCCUGAUCCCCGAGAAAGAACCCGAGUAAUGGUAUGAAAAGAAAAACAAACAAACAACUAACUAGUACAAACUUGCAUGCCUGUUGAUGGAGUUAGGGCAAUAUCACUUGCUCAUCUAACUUCAAUCUUUAGGUUCGGUAGCUAGACUCUUAUGUUCUUAAAGAACUAAGCUCCUCUGAGUGGCAACAGCCCAGAAUCGUUUGCCUCAGUUCCAUUUGCAAUGAUGUAUACAUAGAAAUGUGUAAAGCCCUGGAUAGACAUCAAAUGCCCGAACCAAUUCCGAUCAAAGUAGCAUCAAAGUGUCGGGAGUCAUCAGUCUUAAACUCAUUAAUUUGCUUCAUUUUAAAAUGAAAACUUGGCAGAAAUGUUUCCUGUGGCAGGAAAUGAUGAAUGGUGGCACUCCGUUCUGAUCUUACUUUGAACAAAAGUGCAGCCCGUCAAAAUUUGAUGGUAGACGGUGACCACCAGUCAUCAGCAUGUCUACUUUGAUCGGAAUUGGUUCGGAAAUUGAUCGUCUAUCCAGGCUUUAAGUUUUUAGUAGGUGCUGUUCUUUUGGAAAUGGCUUAGUUUAUCAGCUAUUUCUCUUGAGCAUAACUUGCGUAGCAUAAUUUUUUAAAAGGAAAUUUUCGUACUUAAUUAUGAGGACUGCUCAGUGAGCAUGAAUGAUAAUCUGUGACCGUACCUA
This 4374-nucleotide long non-coding RNA is filed under the name Bemisia tabaci. RNAcentral describes it as "lncRNA ENSASIAIIG003920". The record is from RNAcentral. Lineage: Eukaryota; Metazoa; Arthropoda; Insecta; Hemiptera; Aleyrodidae.